CUACAUUAGUAGAGGUUUAUAUUAAGGGCAAGCUUAUGGUACCAAUUGCAUGCAUGUGACUUCUUUUGUGAGGGUGAGUGAUUUCUUUGAUAUAUGUGAACAUACGAUUCGAAUGUGUGGAUUGAUUUUAAUUUUCGUUGUUGUGAUUGUGAGGGCAUAUGUUUUGGGAAGGAAAAACAAUUCUUAGAUUUCUGUGUUGAGUACUUUGAGGAAGUAUGAAUAUUGCAUGGCAUUUGAGAGUCGACCUUUGAAGCUAGGAAUGUUCACUGCUAGGCGUAAUGUAUGUAAAUUGUUCUGGGUGUAAUGCGUUAGGGGAAAUGGUUGAGGGAGAAACUUCCAGAGAGUAUAGUUUGAUUGUUCGAAGACUAGCAAUGAAUUAAGUG
RNAcentral lists this long non-coding RNA (383 nucleotides) under Nicotiana benthamiana. RNAcentral describes it as "long non-coding RNA (NBEN_LNC030454)". The record is from RNAcentral. Lineage: Eukaryota; Viridiplantae; Streptophyta; Magnoliopsida; Solanales; Solanaceae.